CUCCAAAAAAGCAGAGAACGGUGAGCUGAGCUGGGCCUGCUGCCAGUCUGCAUUCCAACCUUGAACACUGAAAAAGCUCUCCCACUUCCUCCUGAUAUGACCGCAGAUGUCUCCUUCAGCCCGCCGUGAUCUUUAGUUUCCUCGCCCUCCGGCGUCUCAGCUCUUCAUUUUUGCCACUAAACACCUGACUUUCAGGUGAUUUCAGAUCUGUCACGCUGCCGUGUGAGAAGCAGAAGCAGUUUCAUGAGAACAUCCGCUUCUUGCCAUGAUUUCCUCCUUUCUGCCCAAGUUAUCAAUAAACUCGAAUGACGAGAAGGUGCAGCGAAUCAAAAAGGUGAGUCACUGCCGCUGCUCCAUUAGGGGUUUUGCUCUGCAACACAUUAACCAGCCACCAGCAGGCAUUCGGUGGCUGCAGAAUCCAGUCGUUCCAGUCCAGCCAGUUGCAGAUAGCAGGGUGCAGGUGAAAGAAGACAGGGAGGGACCUAUCACAGCCGAGAGAGGAGAGGAGGAGAAAGGAGAGAGAAACCAAAGAUGAGUGCGUGAAUCAAAAUGGACCCAACCAAACACAGCUAUUCCUCAAAAGUCCUGUAUGCAAACAGUGGAGGUGGAACGGAUCCACCCACGGAGGAGAUGGUGCAGAGUUUUGAUUCUGUGAAUGGAGAGAUGCAGGCGGAUGCAGAAAGCAGAGAACUGGAGGUGGUUGAUGGCAAAACAGCUGCAGAUACCAUCCUCUACCACAAGGGGUCAGCAGAGAAAAACAAGUCCAAUACGUUCAAAACUCAGGUCUUAACUAUUCUAAUAUUACUUCUGUGUGUCACAAAAAAUGUAUGAUCUUUCACUGAAAUGUAUAUGCAUAUUGUCUAAUAUAAAUAUUAACUGUUUUUAAUCUAUGAAUGAAUUGCUGUUUGCACAUUUCAUUUUUUUGUAGAAAAUAGAAAAAAAAUAGGUUAUCUUUCACUUUGAGUCAACUGAUUUCUUAAACAUUGAGAGCCACAAAAAAGUGUUUUUUUUUUUU
RNAcentral lists this long non-coding RNA (1015 nucleotides) under Oryzias javanicus (javanese ricefish). RNAcentral's name for it is "lncRNA (ENSOJAG00000007486.1)". Lineage: Eukaryota; Metazoa; Chordata; Actinopteri; Beloniformes; Adrianichthyidae. The record is from RNAcentral.